GCACGGAUGGCCGAGUGGUCUAAGGCGCCAGACUCAAGCUGUAAUGUGCUUCACAUGAGGACAAUGUGUGAUAUGGGCGUUCUGGUAUCGUGAUCGAUGCGUGGGUUCGAAUCCCACUCCGUGCA
This is a non-coding RNA of Onchocerca ochengi, 125 nucleotides long. Lineage: Eukaryota; Metazoa; Nematoda; Chromadorea; Rhabditida; Onchocercidae. The record is from Rfam.